AGUGAACGCUGGCGGUAGGCCUAACACAUGCAAGUCGAACGGCAGAAAAGGGGAGCUCGCUCUCUGGGGGGAGAGGGGCGGACGGGUGAGGAAUACAUCGGAAUCUACUCUGGCGCGGGGGAUAACGUAGGGAAACUUACGCUAACAGAGCAUACGACCUACGGGUGAAAGCAGGGGACCGUCGGGCCUUGCGCGAUUGAAUGAGCCGAUGUCGGAUUAGCUAGUUGGCGGGGUAAAGGCCCACCAAGGCGACGAUCCGUAGCUGGACUGAGAGUAUGAUCCGCCCAACGGGAACGUAGACACCGGCCAGACUCCUCAGGGAGGCAGCAGGGGGUAAUAUUGAACACUGCGCGGGAGGCUGAUCCAGCGAUACCGCGUGGGUGCAGAAGGCCUUCGGGUUGUAAAGCCCUUUUGUUGGGAAAGAAAUCCAGCUGGCCAAUACCCGGUUGGGAUGACGGUACCCAAAGAAUAAGCACCGGCUAACUUCGUGCCCGCAGCCGCCGUAA
Molecule: ribosomal RNA, 506 nt
Filed under: uncultured bacterium
Lineage: Bacteria
Description: partial 16S ribosomal RNA
Rfam family: Bacterial small subunit ribosomal RNA
Source: RNAcentral